AUCGCUUCUCGGCCUUUUGGCUAAGAUCAAGUGCAAAAAUCUGAUGAAUUAAAUAAAAAAUAAUAAUAACCACAUAAGUGCAGAGAUAUUUCAUAUCCAUGGAUAAGAAGGCUCAAUAUUGUCAAGAUGUCUGUUCUUCCCAACUUUAUCUGUAGAUUCAA
Molecule: small nuclear RNA, 161 nt
Gene: U2
Rfam family: U2 spliceosomal RNA
About the family: U2 is a small nuclear RNA (snRNA) component of the spliceosome (involved in pre-mRNA splicing). Complementary binding between U2 snRNA (in an area lying towards the 5' end but 3' to hairpin I) and the branchpoint sequence (BPS) of the intron results the bulging out of an unpaired adenosine, on the BPS, which initiates a nucleophilic attack at the intronic 5' splice site, thus starting the first of two transesterification reactions that mediate splicing.
Source: Ensembl